This 999-nucleotide long non-coding RNA is filed under the name Coturnix japonica (Japanese quail). Its description in RNAcentral is "lncRNA (ENSCJPG00005004458.1)". The record is from RNAcentral. Lineage: Eukaryota; Metazoa; Chordata; Aves; Galliformes; Phasianidae.
ACUGCUGCACAUAUAUGAAUUUUAAUCAACCACUGACACACUUACAUGAAGUGAAGCAAAUGAUCAGAUUUGACAAAUGGGAUUUUAGCCUGGAAAGGAUUUCAGGUUCGUAUUAAUAUUCAGUUCCUCUCUAGGACUCUUUAUAUCAAUGAUUUCAGCACUUGUAUGGCGAUCUUGAGCCUACAUGAUUAUCUCCUAUAGCCCAAAUGGGGAGCCUAUUGUGCUCAGCAUAUAAUAAAAAAACAGCUGCUGUUUCUGAUGUCUCAGGCAGAGUGAACAAAUAGCUGGUGGAUGAGGAUGAGGUACAUCUGAACUAUGCUCAGUAAGGUAAGGGGCACUGUUGAUAUAGCAGUUGACUAGCUGUUGGAGCCACAUAAUUGGGGUCAGUUUCACAGACGCAGCACAUUUCUGUCUCUGACUGAAUCCUCACAAUUUGGAUCACAUGUUUUUAAAAGUUAUGCCUGGUUUGUCAGCUAAUGCAUUUUCCCCUCUUUUCCCUCUGCAUUCCUGAAUCACUCCUGGACCAAGCUCCCCUCAGGUUAUUUCCUGGCCUCCCUUCCGUGACCUAUGACCGAUGAUGACCUUUAGCUAGAGAAUGUGACAUUUUGUUCUCCUCUGGCUGACAUGUGAUGCCCUCAUUAUUCAAAGGGGCUUAGGGGAGAAGCUUCCUUCUAAGACAAAGUACAGGGUGAAUGAAAGAAGAAGCAGAACUUUGCAGGUGCUGGAUGAACUCCAGGGAUCUCAGAGAGCACUGGCAGUUUCCAUCUUCUCUUCUUCCACCCAACGGACACCACAGUGCUGUUUGGACUGGAGUGGAGAGGUGUAGACUGGAUUUCAUCCUGAUGUACAGCUAAGGCAAGAAGCCAGCUCCAUGUCCCACAAUUUAGACAUAUCUUGUCAAUCCAUUCAGCAAGUGAAUGUCUUUUAAAUAACCACAUACCCAGCCCAGCUGGCUGUGAGUCAGUGGCAAAAUAAUUAAUAAAGUUCCAAAUAAAAACA